CAGGUCCUACGGGAGGCAGCAGUAGGGAAUCUUCCACAAUGGGCGAAAGCCUGAUGGAGCAACGCCGCGUGGGUGAAGAAGGGCUUCGGAUCGUAAAACCCUGUUGUUAGAGAAGAAAGUGCGUGAGAGUAACUGUUCACGUUUCGACGGUAUCUAACCAGAAAGCCACGGCUAACUACGUGCCAGAAGCCGCGGUAAUACGUAGGUGGCAAGCGUUAUCAGGAUUUAUUGGGCGUAAAGGGAACGCAGGCGGUCUUUUAAGUCUGAUGUGAAAGCAUUCGGCUUAACCGGAGUAGUGCAUUGGA
RNAcentral lists this ribosomal RNA (305 nucleotides) under uncultured bacterium. RNAcentral describes it as "bacterial SSU rRNA". It matches the Rfam family "Bacterial small subunit ribosomal RNA", at positions 333 to 630 of the family's 1533-position model. The record is from RNAcentral.